CCUACGGGUGGCAGCAGUGAGGAAUAUUGGUCAAUGGACGAGAGCCUGAACCAGCCAAGUCGCGUGAGGGAGUACUGCCCUAUGGGUUGUAAACCUCUUUUGUCGGGGAGCAAAAUCCGGCCGUUUCCGGCUGUUAUAUUACCCGAAUGAAUAGCAUCGGCUAACUCCGUGCCAGCAGCCGCGGUAAUACGGGGGAUGCGAGCGUUAUCCGGAUUUAUUGGGUUUAAAGGGGGCGAAGGCGGGUUUUUAAGUCCGCGGUCAAAUCGUGGGGCUCAACCCCAUACAGCGGUUGAAACUGGGGAUCUAGAGUGUGCGAGAGGUAGGCGGAAUGCGUGGUGUAGCGGUGAAAUGCAUAGAUAUCACGCAGAACCCCGAUUGCGAAGGCAGCACACCGGGGCACAACUGACGCUCAGGCACGAAAGCGUGGGUAUCGAACAGGAUUAGAUACCCGUGUAGUC
Molecule: ribosomal RNA, 458 nt
Filed under: uncultured bacterium
Lineage: Bacteria
Description: partial 16S ribosomal RNA
Rfam family: Bacterial small subunit ribosomal RNA
Source: RNAcentral